AAGACGUAGCAAUACGUUUGUAAAGCGGCGAACGGGUGAGGAAUACAUGGGUAACCUACCCUCGAGUGGGGAAUAACUAGCCGAAAGGUUAGCUAAUACCGCGUACGCUCCUUGGACUUCGGUUCAGGGAGGAAAGCGAUACCGUGGGUAUCGCGCUCUUGGAUGGGCUCAUGUCCUAUCAGCUUGUUGGUGAGGUAACGGCUCACCAAGGCUUCGACGGGUAGCUGGUCUGAGAGGACGAUCAGCCACACUGGCACUGCGACACGGGCCAGACUCCUACGGGAGGCAGCAGUAAGGAAUAUUGCGCAAUGGGCGAAAGCCCGACGCAGCGACGCCGCGUGGGGGAUGAAGGUCUUCGGAUUGUAAACCCCUUUCGGGAGGGAAGAUGGAAUGGGGUAACCCAUUCGGACGGUACCUCCAGAAGCAGCCACGGCUAACUUCGUGCCAGCAGCCGCGGUAAUACGAAGGUGGCAAGCGUUGUUCGGAUUUACUGGGCGUACAGGGAGCGUAGGCGGUUCGGUAAGCCCUCUGUGAAAUCUCCAGGCUUAACCUGGAACAGUCGGGGGGGACUGCUGGGCUAGAGGACGGGAGAGGAGCGCGGAAUUCCCGGUGUAGCGGUGAAAUGCGUAGAGGUCGGGAGGAAGGCCGGUGGCGAAGGCGGCGCUCUGGAACGUUUCUGACGCUGAGGCUCGAAAGCGUGGGGAGCAAACAGGAUUAGAUACCCUGGUAGUCCACGCCUUAAACUAUGAAUACUAAGUGUCGGCGGGUUACCGCCGGUGCCGCAGCUAACGCAUUAAGUAUUCCGCCU
RNAcentral lists this ribosomal RNA (808 nucleotides) under uncultured bacterium. RNAcentral's name for it is "bacterial SSU rRNA". It matches the Rfam family "Bacterial small subunit ribosomal RNA", at positions 71 to 874 of the family's 1533-position model. The record is from RNAcentral.